UAAGUCCCGCAACGAGCGCAACCCCUGCAUUCAGUUGCCAUCGGGUAAUGCCGGGCACUCUGGAAGGACUGCCAUCGACAAGAUGGAGGAAGGUGGGGAUGACGUCAAGUCAUCAUGGCCCUUAUGUCCAGGGCGACACACGUGCUACAAUGGCCGGCACAACGGGAAGCGAGUUCGCGAGGACGAGCGGAUCCCUCAAAGCCGGUCGCAGUUCGGAUUGAAGUCUGCAACUCGACUUCAUGAAGCUGGAAUCGCUAGUAAUCGUGGAUCAGCCAAGCCGCGGUGAAUACGUUCCCGGGCCUU
This 303-nucleotide ribosomal RNA is filed under the name uncultured Synergistaceae bacterium. RNAcentral describes it as "bacterial SSU rRNA". It matches the Rfam family "Bacterial small subunit ribosomal RNA", at positions 1081 to 1382 of the family's 1533-position model. Lineage: Bacteria; Thermotogati; Synergistota; Synergistia; Synergistales; Synergistaceae. The record is from RNAcentral.